AUUUAUUCUUCCCAAGCUCAAUUUACUUGUUCUUGGGGAAAAAUCACCAUUGGCCUCGAGACUGGGCUUCACCGCCCACUUCCCGGCUUAAAUUCGGCUAGUUUUUUCUAACUGGUAGUUACCUUUUUGGUAGAUUUAUCUGCUUCAAAAUUAUCCCUAUCAGCUAAAUGAAACUCCCUGGGUCUUUCGGCCCAGUCAACUCUUUAUC
RNAcentral lists this unclassified non-coding RNA (208 nucleotides) under uncultured Absidia. RNAcentral describes it as "partial internal transcribed spacer 2". The record is from RNAcentral. Lineage: Eukaryota; Fungi; Mucoromycota; Mucoromycetes; Mucorales; Mucoraceae.